Apus apus (common swift) is the source of this 3830-nucleotide RNA transcript. It is a transcript of the gene named solute carrier family 4 member 10, with no coding region annotated. The transcript has 27 exons. NCBI's taxonomy places the organism in Eukaryota, Metazoa, Chordata, Aves, Apodiformes, Apodidae. The record is from RefSeq and is a predicted model, not a curated record.
CCUCGAUAUGUCACUUCAUCUGCCGUUUUUCUUCCGUUAAUGCGAAGCUGGUUGCAUAAUAUCUAAUUUCUGCUUUAGCUGACCGCAGAUAAAAACAAAAUCUAUAAUGGCAGCGCUAGGUUUUAUAAAAAACGCAAGUGAGGAGUUGAAGGAUGUGGCUUGUUCUGUUUGGAUGAUGCAGGAUUGCUUUAAGCAGUAAGCUUACUGUUUUCAGAUGGCAUUAGCAGCAUCAGUGAUAGAGCUGUGUCAGCCUCCUUGACUACUGGAUGUCUGUAAUCACACGGAGGAGAAACUAUAUUUAAGAUCUGAUAUCGUGAGGGUAAUGACUGCAGCACUUACGGAUGGACAGAAUGGCUGUUAAUGCUUUCUUCACUAGCCCAGAAGAUUUUGAAAGAUAGAUGCGUCUGUGAUGUACCUCUGUAAGACAGGAAAUGCAAUUUCUGGGGGUCUCUGCAAGCAGAAAGGUCAUGCAGCUUGGAACCAGUGAGACAUUACAGUCUUUCAGUCAUCAGAGAAAUGAUGAAGAGGCUGUUGUGGAUAGAGGUGGAACUCGCUCCAUUCUCAAAACACAUUUUGAAAAGGAAGAUCUAGAAGGCCAUCGAACAUUGUUCAUUGGAGUUCAUGUGCCACUGGGUGGAAGAAAAAGUCACCGACGCCAUAGGCACCGUGGACAUAAACACAGAAAGAGAGACAGAGAGCGAGAUUCAGGAUUGGAAGAUGGAAGAGAGUCUCCUCCUUUUGACACCCCAUCACAAAGGGUGCAGUUUAUUCUUGGAACAGAAGAUGAUGACGAGGAACACAUUCCUCAUGAUCUUUUUACUGAGCUUGAUGAAAUUUGCUGGCGUGAAGGAGAGGAUGCAGAGUGGAGGGAGACAGCAAGGUGGCUGAAGUUUGAAGAGGAUGUAGAGGAUGGUGGAGAGAGGUGGAGCAAACCAUAUGUUGCCACACUGUCACUGCAUAGCUUGUUUGAGCUGAGAAGCUGUAUCCUAAAUGGCACGGUUCUUUUGGACAUGAGAGCUAACUCCAUAGAAGAAAUUGCAGAUAUGAUUCUGGACCAGCAGGUGAGUUCUGGGCAGCUCAAUGAGGAUGUUCGUCACAGAGUGCAUGAGGCGUUACUGAAACAGCAUCACCAUCAGAACCAGAAGAAGCUAAGCAACAGGAUCCCAAUUGUGAGAUCUUUUGCUGAUAUUGGAAAAAAGCAGUCCGAGCCCCAUUCCAUGGAUAAAAAUGCAGGUCAGAUUGUUUCCCCACAGUCUGCUCCAGCUUGUACUGAAAACAAGAAUGAUGUGAGCAGAGAAAACAGCACCGUUGACUUCAGCAAGGUUGACCUACACUUCAUGAAAAAGAUACCACCUGGAGCUGAAGCCUCAAACAUCUUAGUUGGUGAACUGGAGUUCCUGGAUCGUGCAGUUGUUGCUUUUGUUAGGUUAUCUCCUGCAGUGCUGCUUACAGGACUAGCUGAAGUUCCAAUUCCAACAAGAUUUUUGUUUAUUCUUCUUGGACCACUGGGCAAAGGACAACAAUACCAUGAGAUCGGAAGAUCAAUUGCAACACUGAUGACAGAUGAGGUGUUCCAUGAUGUUGCUUACAAAGCAAAAGACCGCAAUGAUUUGGUGUCUGGAAUUGAUGAGUUUCUUGAUCAGGUUACUGUUCUUCCUCCUGGAGAGUGGGACCCAACAAUUCGAAUAGAACCACCUAAAAAUGUUCCCUCUCAGGAGAAGCGUAAGAUCCCAGGAGUGCCAAAUGGGACUGCAGCCCAUGGGGACGCAGAGCAACCUGGAGGACACUCUGGACCAGAACUGCAACGCACUGGAAAAUUUUUUGGAGGAUUGAUUUUAGAUAUUAAAAGAAAAGCUCCCUUCUUCUGGAGUGACUUCAGGGAUGCUCUCAGUCUGCAGUGUCUGGCGUCAUUUCUGUUUCUCUACUGUGCUUGCAUGUCUCCUGUCAUCACAUUUGGUGGUCUGCUGGGAGAAGCAACUGAAGGUCGUAUAAGUGCAAUAGAAUCGUUAUUUGGAGCAUCCAUGACUGGAAUUGCCUACUCUCUCUUUGGUGGACAGCCUCUCACUAUACUUGGCAGCACAGGACCAGUUUUAGUAUUUGAGAAGAUCUUAUUCAAAUUUUGCAAGGAGUAUGAGUUGUCAUACCUUUCUCUGAGAGCUAGCAUUGGACUGUGGACUGCAAUUCUGUGCAUCAUCCUUGUUGCAACUGAUGCAAGCUCCCUAGUCUGUUACAUUACCCGGUUUACUGAAGAAGCUUUUGCUUCUCUUAUCUGUAUAAUUUUCAUUUAUGAGGCCUUAGAGAAGUUAUUUCAUCUCAGUGAGACAUAUCCAAUCAACAUGCAUAAUGAUUUGGAUCUGCUGACGAACUACUCAUGUGAUUGUGUGGAACCAGAACAUCCGAGCAAUAAAACCUUACGAUACUGGCAGGAUUACAAUAUAUCUGCAUCUGAUGUGCCAUGGGGGAACCUAACUGUGUCAGAAUGUAAAAAGUUUCAUGGAGAGUUUGUUGGACGAGCCUGUGGUCAUCAUGGCCCUUAUGUUCCAGAUGUCCUCUUCUGGUCUGUCAUCUUAUUCUUUUCUACAGUAACACUGUCAUCCACACUGAAGCAGUUCAAAACUAGCCGAUACUUCCCAACAAAGGUACGAUCCGUUGUCAGUGAUUUUGCUGUCUUUCUCACUAUUUUGUCCAUGGUUUUAAUUGACUAUGCCAUUGGGAUUCCGUCACCAAAACUUCAAGUUCCAAAUGCUUUUAAGCCCACCAGAGAUGAUCGUGGCUGGUUUAUUACUCCUUUGGGGCCUAAUCCUUGGUGGACAGUGAUAGCUGCUGUAAUUCCAGCCUUGCUUUGUACUAUCCUUAUCUUUAUGGACCAGCAGAUCACAGCUGUCAUCAUCAACAGAAAAGAACACAAGCUAAAGAAAGGAUGUGGAUACCAUCUUGACCUACUCAUGGUGGCAGUCAUGCUUGGAGUGUGCUCUAUUAUGGGAUUGCCAUGGUUUGUUGCAGCAACUGUCCUCUCUAUUUCCCAUGUGAAUAGCUUAAAACUGGAAUCAGAGUGCUCUGCUCCAGGGGAGCAGCCCAAAUUUCUUGGAAUCCGGGAGCAAAGAGUCACGGGGCUCAUGAUUUUUAUCCUUAUGGGCUCAUCUGUCUUCUUGACAAGUAUCCUGAAGUUUAUUCCUAUGCCAGUACUUUAUGGAGUAUUUCUUUACAUGGGUGCUUCAUCUCUAAAGGGAAUUCAGCUUUUUGACAGGAUAAAGUUAUUCUGGAUGCCUGCAAAGCACCAGCCAGAUUUUAUUUAUCUGAGGCAUGUUCCUCUCCGAAAGGUCCAUCUCUUCACUGUAAUUCAGCUGAGUUGUCUUGUGCUUCUGUGGAUUAUAAAGGUUUCAAGAGCUGCCAUUGUCUUUCCUAUGAUGGUCCUGGCUCUGGUCUUUGUCCGAAAACUCAUGGAUUUCUUUUUUACAAAGCGAGAGCUCAGUUGGUUAGAUGAUUUGAUGCCUGAGAGCAAGAAAAAGAAACUGGAAGAUGCUGAGAAAGAGGAAGAGCAAAGUAUGUUAGCAAUGGAAGAGGAAGGGACUGUUCAGUUACCACUAGAAGGACAUUACAGAGAUGACCCAUCUGUGAUAAACAUUUCUGAUGAAAUGGCAAAAACUGCUGUGUGGAAGACAUUGUUGAUAUCCUCUGAGAAUGCAAAAGAUAAGGAGUCAAGCUUUCCUUCUAAAAGACUCAGGUGAAAAGGAACCAGGAGAUCACAGGUUUUAUGGUUUUUAAUUAAGGAAUUAUUCCCAUGAAACCUGUGCUGAAAUCAGAAAAGAGAAGAAAGCUGACUCAGGGAA